CCUACGGGAGGCAGCAGUGGGGGAUAUUGCACAAUGGGGGGAACCCUGAUGCAGCGACGCCGCGUGGGUGAAGAAGCGCCUCGGCGCGUAAAGCUCUGUCAGCAGGGAAUAAAAUGACGGUACCUGAAGAAGAAGCACCUGCUAACUACGUGACAGCAGCCGCGGGAAUACGGAGGGGGCAAGCGGUAACCGGAUUUAAGGGGGGGAAAGGGGGCGCAGACGGCGAUGCAAGCCAGGAGUGAAAGCCCGGGGCCCAACCCCGGGACUGCUCUUGGAACUGCGUGGCUGGAGUGCAGGAGGGGCAGGCGGAAUUCCUGGUGUAGGGGUGAAAUGCGUAGAUAUCAGGAGGAACACCGGUGGCGAAGGCGGCCUGCUGGACUGCAACUGACGUUGAGGCCCGAAAGCGUGGGGAGCAAACAGGAUUAGAUACCCUUGUAGUC
RNAcentral lists this ribosomal RNA (440 nucleotides) under uncultured bacterium. RNAcentral's name for it is "partial 16S ribosomal RNA". It matches the Rfam family "Bacterial small subunit ribosomal RNA", at positions 338 to 795 of the family's 1533-position model. The record is from RNAcentral.